AAGACUAUAGACCUGCGGAGUACCUGCGGAGGGAUCAUUAGUGAAUUUUGGGCACUCUAACCGAGGCCCAACCUCCACAAUCCCAAACACUGUGCACUUUAUUUUGGCGAGCUUCGUAAUUGAAACUUGCCUUCAUUUUUUAACACUAGUCAAAGAAUGUAAAUAAAAUCAUAACAAAAAAAAACUUUUAACAAUGGAUCUCU
RNAcentral lists this unclassified non-coding RNA (203 nucleotides) under soil metagenome. RNAcentral describes it as "partial contains 5.8S ribosomal RNA, internal transcribed spacer 2, and large subunit ribosomal RNA". The record is from RNAcentral.